Molecule: ribosomal RNA, 427 nt
Filed under: Bacillus subtilis
Lineage: Bacteria; Bacillati; Bacillota; Bacilli; Caryophanales; Bacillaceae
Description: bacterial SSU rRNA
Rfam family: Bacterial small subunit ribosomal RNA
Source: RNAcentral
CUUGCUCCCUGAUGUUAGCGGCGGACGGGUGAGUAACACGUGGGUAACCUGCCUGUAAGACUGGGAUAACUCCGGGAAACCGGGGCUAAUACCGGAUGCUUGUUUGAACCGCAUGGUUCAAACAUAAAAGGUGGCUUCGGCUACCACUUACAGAUGGACCCGCGGCGCAUUAGCUAGUUGGUGAGGUAAUGGCUCACCAAGGCAACGAUGCGUAGCCGACCUGAGAGGGUGAUCGGCCACACUGGGACUGAGACACGGCCCAGACUCCUACGGGAGGCAGCAGUAGGGAAUCUUCCGCAAUGGACGAAAGUCUGACGGAGCAACGCCGCGUGAGUGAUGAAGGUUUUCGGAUCGUAAAGCUCUGUUGUUAGGGAAGAACAAGUACCGUUCGAAUAGGGCGGUACCUUGACGGUACCUAACCAGAAAG